AAUCUCGACCAGAAAAGAUGCAACAUUAUUAUUUAGACGCUUGACAAAAUCAAACGUUUGUAUGAUUCUGAUGCACAGCACAAUUAUAAUCGUUCACCAAUUUUGAGAAGGUAAGAUUAUUAUUUGGACGCUUGAAAAAGGAAACGUUUGUCUGCCGAAGAUAAUCACGUGACUCAAGGCCAUGUGCUAGUAUCAACAGUGCGGCAGUGCCAGUGAAAGUCAGGCGGUAUGCCGGAACAACAGAGUCUUGAUUUUUAGAGGCAGGUUUUAAAGAAAGGAAAAGAAAUCGGUGUUGUAAAGAAAGAAAAAGAUUUUCCACUCAAAGAAUUAUGGAUAACACAGAGUACUUCCUAUUGAUGACAUCUUAACCAACUUUGAAAAAAGUUUUGUUUGAAAGAAGAGGAUCUGAAGAAGGAGAAAGAUCUGUUUAGAUUCAGAUGGAUUAAUAGACUGUCAGACCUUUUGCCAUCACUUAAUUCUGUACUAUUAGUUCUGUAACACUGAGCCUAUAAGCUUUUGACAUGAUGGUUUAUCUAAUUUGAGAGAGCAGAGUCCAUGAUAUCAGUCUUUAAGCAUUUCAAGAUUUACAGAAUAUGUACAGAUAUAAUAGCAGAUAAAAAUCCCACACAAAGAACACACUGAUAUAAAGUUAAUGGAAUUUAGAGAUAUUUCAUUUCUCUCUUGUGUGGAUUGAUUUAAGAAAAAAAAAAGUUUAUGCCAGAAAAAUAUAAUAAAUUAAUUACUUGAG
Long non-coding RNA from Saccostrea echinata, 748 nucleotides. RefSeq lists it as uncharacterized. The record is from RefSeq and is a predicted model, not a curated record. The transcript is spliced from 3 exons. NCBI's taxonomy places the organism in Eukaryota, Metazoa, Mollusca, Bivalvia, Ostreida, Ostreidae.